UAGACCUGUUCUACAUGACUAGUAUAGAAGUUCAACAUGACUAGUAUAGAAUAUAGACCUGUUCAACAUGACUAGUAUAGAAUAUAGACCUGUUCUACAUGACUAGUAUAGAAGUUCAACAUGACUAGUAUAGAAGUUCAACAUGACUAGUAUAGAAUAUAGAUAGAAAUAUAACACUACUAUUACUAGUUAUCUGUAGAAACCAAUUAGGAAGUUGUAUUAUUUAAUGAACUAACACUUUCUAUUUGUUCCUAGCUUCUACAACUGGGAGACCCAGGUGUCCACGUCCAAUGUCAGCGCUAACUACCAGGUGAUCGCUGAGAACUCCAGUGGUCUGCUUUUUAAGAACAAGACAGACAGAAAGAUUCUCAACGUGGACCCUAAGGCCUCACCUGGAGACAACUCGUCCAGGACGCCCCUCCAGUCUGAACUCUACAGCCAAGUCGUCAUCUAUGACCACAUCACCAGGAGGACCUAGCCAAUCACCUCUCACUGUCUCCUCCCUGCUACCACCACCUCACACUGCUAUUAAACACAUACUGGAAGCCUCUAGUGUGAUGUAAUAAAGGUUGUCCCCCCCAUCAA
Molecule: long non-coding RNA, 585 nt
Organism: Oncorhynchus nerka (sockeye salmon)
Lineage: Eukaryota; Metazoa; Chordata; Actinopteri; Salmoniformes; Salmonidae
Exons: 2
Source: RefSeq, a predicted model, not a curated record